RNAcentral lists this ribosomal RNA (488 nucleotides) under Streptococcus intermedius. RNAcentral's name for it is "bacterial SSU rRNA". It matches the Rfam family "Bacterial small subunit ribosomal RNA", at positions 28 to 490 of the family's 1533-position model. Lineage: Bacteria; Bacillati; Bacillota; Bacilli; Lactobacillales; Streptococcaceae. The record is from RNAcentral.
GACGAACGCUGGCGGCGUGCCUAAUACAUGCAAGUAGAACGCACAGGAUGCACCGUAGUUUACUACACCGUAUUCUGUGAGUUGCGAACGGGUGAGUAACGCGUAGGUAACCUGCCUGGUAGCGGGGGAUAACUAUUGGAAACGAUAGCUAAUACCGCAUAAGAACAUUUACUGCAUGGUAGAUGUUUAAAAGGUGCAAAUGCAUCACUACCAGAUGGACCUGCGUUGUAUUAGCUAGUAGGUGAGGUAACGGCUCACCUAGGCGACGAUACAUAGCCGACCUGAGAGGGUGAUCGGCCACACUGGGACUGAGACACGGCCCAGACCUCCUACGGGAGGCAGCAGUAGGGAAUCUUCGGCAAUGGGGGGAACCCUGACCGAGCAACGCCGCGUGAGUGAAGAAGGUUUUCGGAUCGUAAAGCUCUGUUGUUAAGGAAGAACGAGUGUGAGAAUGGAAAGUUCAUACUGUGACGGUACUUACCAGAAAG